Molecule: ribosomal RNA, 365 nt
Filed under: Macrima straminea
Lineage: Eukaryota; Metazoa; Arthropoda; Insecta; Coleoptera; Chrysomelidae
Description: partial 16S ribosomal RNA
Source: RNAcentral
UUUAAUGGCCGCAGUAUUUUGACUGUGCUAAGGUAGCAUAAUCAUUAGUUUUUUAAUUGGAAACUAGAAUGAAGGGUUGGAUGAAAAAAUAACUGUCUCUAUUAAAAUUUUAUAGAAUUUUAUUUUUAAGUUAAAAAGCUUAAAUAUUAUUAAAAGACGAGAAGACCCUAUAGAGUUUUAUAAAUAAUUAAGUUAUAUUUUUGGAAUUAAUUUUAUAAUUACAGUUAUUUAUUUAAUUGGGGUGAUUAAAAAAUUAAAUAAACUUUUUUUAUAAUUUUAUAUUAAUUAAUAAAUUAUUGAUCUAGAUAUUUUGAUUAUAAGAUAAAAUUACCUUAGGGAUAACAGCGUAAUUUUAUUAGAGAGUU